RNAcentral lists this ribosomal RNA (270 nucleotides) under uncultured bacterium. RNAcentral's name for it is "partial 16S ribosomal RNA". It matches the Rfam family "Bacterial small subunit ribosomal RNA", at positions 793 to 1055 of the family's 1533-position model. The record is from RNAcentral.
GUCCACGCGGUAAACUAUGGACACUGGGUAUAGGGAGUAUCGACCCUCUCUGUGCCGAAGCUAACGCGUUAAGUGUCCCGUCUGGGAAGUACGGCCGCAAGGCUAAAAACUCAAAAGGAAUUGACGGGGGCCCGCACAAGCAGCGGAGCGUGUGGUUUAAUUCGAUGCAAAGCGAAGAACCUUACCAAGGUUUGACAUGACGGAAGUAGCAACCGGAAACGGAAGCGACCUGUUAAGUCAGGAGCCGCACAGGUACUGCAUGGCUGUCGU